CAUUCUCCCUCCGCCAUUCCCACAUUCCCACAUUUAUAUAUAGAUUUUACAAAGCAACUAAUAUAAUUAGCAGGGCACGUUUUAAAACAUUUCUUUUUUUGUUUUAUCCGUUUCCUAUUAUAAAUGGGCAAAAACUCUGCUGCUAAAAAUUUAAAAGCUUCUGUAUAAAUCCGUCAUUUCUGUAGUUUUAAUCAAACUUAUUGGAAAUGGAGAGAGGAAGAUACCAAUAGAGCAAAGACAAUGGUUUAUAUUUGUCGACCUGGUAAGAGCUCGUGGUCGGAGCUGCUUGGAGCGAAUGGAGAAGCCGCUGCAGCUCUCAUAGAGAAAGAGAAUAAAAAGGUGCAUGCUAUUGUGUUACAGAGUCUGGGUUUUUAUUAACGAAUCUUGUGUAGUCGUUACAGUUCCGACAAUUGGUUAAGAGCACGCAGUUUUACUCUAUCUCCAAAUAAAUUAUGGAAUCGUUUAGAUUAUAAUGAAAUACAAGUUUCCUUCAAUAUACACAAGGUUUAUAUUAGUAAUA
Non-coding RNA from Jatropha curcas, 520 nucleotides. NCBI's taxonomy places the organism in Eukaryota, Viridiplantae, Streptophyta, Magnoliopsida, Malpighiales, Euphorbiaceae. The record is from RefSeq and is a predicted model, not a curated record.